Non-coding RNA from Podarcis lilfordi (Lilford's wall lizard), 70 nucleotides. The record is from the annotation of a GenBank genome assembly. NCBI's taxonomy places the organism in Eukaryota, Metazoa, Chordata, Lepidosauria, Squamata, Lacertidae.
ACCCAGCUCAGCCAAGUAGAGCAUGUGACUCUUAAUCUCAGAGUUGUGGGUUUGAGCCCCACGUUGGGCA